CCUACGGGAUGCUGCAGUGAGGAAUAUUGGUCAAUGGACGAGAGUCUGAACCAGCCAAGUAGCGUGAAGGAUGACUGCCCUAUGGGUUGUAAACUUCUUUUAUAUGGGAAUAAAACGUUCCACGUGUGGGAUUUUGUAUGUACCAUAUGAAUAAGGAUCAGCUAACUCCGUGCCAGCAGCCGCGGUCAUACGGAGGAUCCGAGCGUUAUCCGGAUUUAUUGGGUUUAAAGGGAGCGUAGGUGGAUUGUUAAGUCAGUUGUGAAAGUUUGCGGCUCAACCGUAAAAUUGCAGUUGAAACUGGCAGUCUUGAGUACAGUAGAGGUGGGCGGAAUUCGUGGUGUAGCGGUGAAAUGCUUAGAUAUCACGAAGAACUCCGAUUGCGAAGGCAGUUCACUGGACUGCAACUGACACUGAGGCUCGAAAGUGUGGGUAUCAAACAGGAUUAGAUACCCCAGUAGUC
Molecule: ribosomal RNA, 460 nt
Filed under: uncultured bacterium
Lineage: Bacteria
Description: partial 16S ribosomal RNA
Rfam family: Bacterial small subunit ribosomal RNA
Source: RNAcentral